UCUCCGUAGGUGAACCUGCGGAGGGAUCAUUACCGAGUGAGGGUUCCGGCCCGACCUCCAACCCUUUGUGAAUUCGACCCAGUUGCCUCGGGGGCGACCCUGCCGUCCGCGGCUGAGCGCCCCCGGGGUCAAUCAAACACUGCGUCAAUUUGUGUCGGAGUACUUGUUAAUAAACAAAACUUUCAACAACGGAUCUCUUGGUUCUGGCAUCGAUGAAGAACGCAGC
This 226-nucleotide unclassified non-coding RNA is filed under the name uncultured fungus. RNAcentral's name for it is "sequence contains ITS1, 5.8S rRNA gene". The stretch from base 178 to 226 matches the Rfam family "5.8S ribosomal RNA", at positions 1 to 49 of the family's 154-position model. Lineage: Eukaryota; Fungi. The record is from RNAcentral.